Sander lucioperca (pikeperch) is the source of this 1586-nucleotide long non-coding RNA. RefSeq lists it as uncharacterized. The record is from RefSeq and is a predicted model, not a curated record. The transcript has 2 exons. NCBI's taxonomy places the organism in Eukaryota, Metazoa, Chordata, Actinopteri, Perciformes, Percidae.
CGGAGAGUGAAUGUGUGGCUCGCACUGUGCCUUGACAGAGACACCAUGCUCUCUUUCUCACGCCCUUGAGAGAAAUUCGAGAGAAGCGAUGCCACUUUUUGCCAGUGUUCAAAGGGACACAGAGUUACCUCACUUGAAACUGAGGUUUCACAUGAAAACAAGGUGGCAUUUGUUAGAGAUGGGCCCCGAUAAGGACUUUAUCUUUCGUUGGAGAUGACGUGUUUACUGUCGCCUUGGUAAAACAUUAACCGCCCAACGACAAGUUGACUUUACCUCUGCUUGCUUUGCUGUCUUUCAGUUUAGUAUCCUCUGUGUGUCAAUCAAAACUCGCCACUGUUCAAAAUAAGUAGUUCACUUUAUUAGUUUAUAAUGUCGUGGACAGUCCCCUUUAAUUAACUGUACAGUAAAAGGAGCAGCUUUAGCCUCUACGGCUAAUUUCCAUCUGUAGUCCUCAGCCAAUUGUCCAUAGGCAUCCUAAAAUACAAUGUAAAAAAUGUAAAUAAGUUACAUUACAUUUAUAAUUACAGCAGGCCUAUGCGAAAGAGAGUAAAGAAAGUAUUAAGGGUCUGUGGGGAAAAAAGCGCAGGACAAAGGACAGUGACUGACCAGAUACUUUUAAUCACAGGGAACUAUGUCUGUCUGUCUUUCUUUAUCACGACUGUGACGAAAUCUAAACAGUGUGUACUGCCAGUAUUGUACUCCAGAGUGAUCCAGUGCACUUGUUUAUAUUAGUCAUUUGUUUUUCACAUUGAAAAAUGUAUAAUUGCAUUGAUAAAAAGUUAGAAAAGAGCUAUAUGGUAGUCUAAAUUACAAGGAUUUCUUGUACACAUUAUAGUAGAUACAGGCAAGUAAUAGGAGCAUAGGAUAUUUUGAGCCAGAGAGAAAAUUAUUUUCUCAAAAUAUGAUUUCCUUUUGUGUAGGGCGGGGCACCGAACUUUGAUAUUUUUUGGCACCGACCAAAUUGCCGCCAUAGUAUGGACUAUCGAAAAUGCCUUGUCAUUCAAUACCAAAUUUCAAUACCAUAAGAGUAUUCUCAUCAGCGUCAGUGAGCCAAUAAGCAUGCAGCAUGCUUCUACCGAGAUCAAAUAAUGUUUGUGAUUGGCUGUUCGUUACACGUUGUAGAGACACGCAGGAAAACCACCAUUUGUACCGUAGUGUUGUAAUUUCUUUUUGUUAAAAUGGAUUUUUAUAAAGUUGGUAUCCUGAAAAAGUAUUGUUCAGGAACUGGUAUCGAAAUCGAUACCAACGAUACUCAAACUUAAAAUACAAUAAUACAAACUAAUACAAUAGAAUAUAGGUUAAACAGCUGGUAACAAGUUGAUGUUAUUGAAUGUCUAAAAUAUCUCUGUUGGUAGUGCACUUGAAGUCAAGUAGAAGUCAAGUUCUCUCAACUGGUGGAAGUGGUCAGUAACUCAUAGUGAUGAUUAUACAUUAUUAUUUUUACAUACGGCUUUUAAAUGCGGAGAUGCAAAGAAGAUUAAAACUUGGGUUAAUAGAGAGAAAACCAUGUGUGAACUGUAAAUUGGGCGUUGACCACAGUUAGGUGUUGGUCCCAGAGUAUUUUGUUUCACACAAAAAAAACUAAA